Erinaceus europaeus (western European hedgehog) is the source of this 158-nucleotide non-coding RNA. NCBI's taxonomy places the organism in Eukaryota, Metazoa, Chordata, Mammalia, Eulipotyphla, Erinaceidae. The record is from Rfam.
AUACUUGCCUGGUAGGGAGGAUGCCAUAAUCCUGAAGGUAUCUUUUUAUGGGCAAGGCUUAUCCAUUGCACUACAGAUAUGCUAAUUCAUGCAGUUUCCCUCAUUGCUGGAAACUGCAUAAUUUGUGGUAGUGAGGACUAUGUUCUUACUCUCUCAAU